GGGUAUGUGGCUGCAUAAACUGCACCCACAUUAAAAUAAUAAGGCCCGCUGAGCAUGAAGAGCGGUGCUUUAAUAGGAAACAUUGGCAUUCCAUUAACUGCCAAGUGAUUUGUGACUCUGAUUGCCUUAUAUUGAGUAUUGAUGCAUCAUACACAUCAUCAUACAUUGGGCAUAUGGGCCCAACAUGAGAUAAAAGCUCACAUGGAAGAACUCUCAAUACAGGGAGAGACUACAUACCUACUGGGUGACUCAGGGUAUCCUCUCCAGUCAUUCAUGAUGACUCCAGUGGACCAUGCAGGAGACGACUCACCUGAAGGGCGCUACAAUAUAAUUCAGAAACGUGCCCAUUCCACUGUAGAGCACACAUUUGGAAUACUAAAAGGGAGAUGGAGAUGCUUAUUAGCCGCCAGAGAAUUAAAUUAAACUCCUGAGACCGCUGGCAAAAUUGCAAUUGCAUGCAGUGUAUUGCACAACAUGUGCAUACAUGCUCGGCUCGACCAUCCUGAAUUAGCAGAGGACCUCGCAGCUG
Long non-coding RNA from Plutella xylostella (diamondback moth), 529 nucleotides. RefSeq lists it as uncharacterized. The record is from RefSeq and is a predicted model, not a curated record. Lineage: Eukaryota; Metazoa; Arthropoda; Insecta; Lepidoptera; Plutellidae.